UGUGGGUCUUCUGUAUGCUGAAGUUCCAAGCAAUGCCUUUCUUAUUUCUCUAUCUUACAUGAAGUCGUCUAAAUGACUUUUUCUCAAUUUUAUUUCUUUUUCCAGCUUCUUCCACCUUUCACAGGAGAAAGAAAGCAUAAAAACAAUUUUCUUGAUGUGUGUGCUGUUGUGGUGCAUUGUGAGAUGAAAUUCUCCAGGCUCUACAUUUAUUCCAGUUUAAAACAAUAUCAACAGAUACACAGGAUGCAGCUCAGAAUAUGUUAUCGUGUCCUGACAGGCAGCAGGAGGAUAAGAAAUCCAUAUUUUGAUUAUAUGACUAACUGGAUCGUUCUGCAUUUGUCUAGUAACAGUGGACAUGGAGCUUCCAGUUUAGGAAGUGCUAUAAACUUCAGUGGGAUAAGCUGAGCUUUGAAGUUACAUGUUAC
This 425-nucleotide long non-coding RNA is filed under the name Phasianus colchicus (ring-necked pheasant). Its description in RNAcentral is "lncRNA (ENSPCLG00000021121.1)". The record is from RNAcentral. Lineage: Eukaryota; Metazoa; Chordata; Aves; Galliformes; Phasianidae.